This 512-nucleotide ribosomal RNA is filed under the name uncultured bacterium. RNAcentral's name for it is "partial 16S ribosomal RNA". It matches the Rfam family "Bacterial small subunit ribosomal RNA", at positions 28 to 507 of the family's 1533-position model. The record is from RNAcentral.
GACGAACGCUGGCGGCGUGCUUAACACAUGCAAGUCGAACGAAAAGAGGGAAAGAGCUUGCUCUUUCCGGAAUUGAGUGGCAAACGGGUGAGUAACACGUAAACAACCUGCCUUCAGGAUGGGGACAACAGACGGAAACGACUGCUAAUACCGAAUAAGUUCCAAGAGCCGCAUGGCCCAUGGAAGAAAAGGUGGCCUCUACCUGUAAGCUAUCGCCUGAAGAGGGGUUUGCGUCUGAUUAGCUGGUUGGAGGGGUAACGGCCCACCAAGGCGACGAGCAGUAGCCGGUCUGAGAGGAUGAACGGCCACACUGGAACUGAGACACGGUCCAGACUCCUACGGGAGGCAGCAGUGGGGAAUCUUCGCAAUGGGCGAAAGCCUGACGGAGCAACGCCGCGUGAGUGAUGACGGCCUUCGGGUUGUAAAACUCUGUGAUCCGGGACGAAAAGGCAGAGUGCGAAGAACAAACUGCAUUGACGGUACCGGAAAAGCAAGCCACGGCCAACUACGUG